RNAcentral lists this ribosomal RNA (434 nucleotides) under uncultured Lachnospiraceae bacterium. Its description in RNAcentral is "bacterial SSU rRNA". It matches the Rfam family "Bacterial small subunit ribosomal RNA", at positions 341 to 792 of the family's 1533-position model. The record is from RNAcentral. Lineage: Bacteria; Bacillati; Bacillota; Clostridia; Lachnospirales; Lachnospiraceae.
ACGGGAGGCAGCAGUGGGGAAUAUUGCGCAAUGGGGGAAACCCUGACGCAGCGACGCCGCGUGAGUGAAGAAGUAUUUCGGUAUGUAAAGCUCUAUCAGCGGGGAAGAUGAUGACGGUACCUGACUAAGAAGCCCCGGCUAACUACGUGCCAGCAGCCGCGGUAAUACGUAGGGGGCAAGCGUUAUCCGGAUUUACUGGGUGUAAAGGGAGCGUAGACGGCUGUGCAAGUCUGAAGUGAAAUCCGCGGGCUCAACCCGCGAACUGCUUUGGAAACUGUAUAGCUAGAGUGCAGGAGAGGUAAGUGGAAUUCCUAGUGUAGCGGUGAAAUGCGUAGAUAUUAGGAGGAACACCAGUGGCGAAGGCGGCUUACUGGACUGUAACUGACGUUGAGGCUCGAAAGCGUGGGGAGCAAACAGGAUUAGAUACCCUGGUA